GCGCGCACUCUUGUCUGCUUACGAGGGCUCCUCCCUUCAGCUUUGGUCCCUCGGGGCGUCUGGGCAGCCUACGCUUUCCGGAUAAAAAUGGCAGAAUGAAAGAAUUAUGAGUGGAACUAGAGAAUAGGAAAGACAUGAACCAACGCCCAAAAUGAGAAAGAAGGACAUAUAAAGAAAAAGACAAAUACAAGUGAAAAAAAUAGACUAAUGGAUUAACGUCCCUGUCGUGUGACAUUUUCUGACUGGAAUCAGCCAUUUUACCAAGAAAGUUGGGUUUCUUUUACUGGCAAAUAGUACUUCAAGAGCACAGUCUUAUGUAAGAAGUACAGUCUAUAUAAAGACUGUCCAGGACAAAAACUGGCCACUCCAUUCAGCAUUGACAGCAGUAUUUAAAGCUGGUGCAUGGUGAGGUGAAGUUUCUCAAGGGCAAAGACAAUGCCUUCAUGCAUGUUCAGUGUCUGCCCCCGUGGGCUUUGAAAUGAUCGCUGACAAUGGGGGAUCUGCAGUGACUUCUCUGCCUCUGCCAAAGCCCAGGGGUGCUGCUCCCUAAUUCUAAGGAUUCUAAUGAGACUCAGAGCAGGUGUAACACAGGGCAUGGAGCUUCCUGAGCAAGAGGCUGGCUAACAAACUGUGGACGUGGUACUUAGACACAUUAAGAGACAUUACAGGGACACCUGCAAGUAUGUCUCCCUGGGGAGAAGCCAAGUGCAGAUGCUAUGGCCACAGAUGAUAUGGUUUGGCUCUGUGUCCCCACUCAAAUCUCAUCUCAAGUUGUAAUCCCUGGAUGUCGAGGGAGGGACCUGGUGGGAGGUGAUUGGAUUGGUUCGCAUGAUAGUGAGGGAGUUCUCACGAGAUCUGGUUGUUUGAUAAGUGUCUGGCAUUUCUCCUGUGCUGUCUCUCCUGCCACCUUGUGAAGAAGGUGCCUGCUUCUCCUUCGCCUUCCGCCAUGAUUGUAAGUUUCCUGAGGCCUCCCUAGCAAUGCAGAACUGUGAGUCAAUUAAACUUCCUUUCUUUAUAAAUUA
RNAcentral lists this long non-coding RNA (1022 nucleotides) under Homo sapiens (human). The stretch from base 85 to 241 matches the Rfam family "TTC28 antisense RNA 1 conserved region 2". Lineage: Eukaryota; Metazoa; Chordata; Mammalia; Primates; Hominidae. The record is from RNAcentral.